RNAcentral lists this ribosomal RNA (292 nucleotides) under uncultured bacterium. Its description in RNAcentral is "partial 16S ribosomal RNA". It matches the Rfam family "Bacterial small subunit ribosomal RNA", at positions 505 to 796 of the family's 1533-position model. The record is from RNAcentral.
GUGCCAGCCGCCGCGGUAAUACGGAGGGUGCAAGCGUUAAUCGGAAUUACUGGGCGUAAAGCGCGCGUAGGUGGUUUGGUCAGUCAGAUGUGAAAGCCCCGGGCUCAACCUGGGAACUGCACCUGAUACUGCCAGGCUAGAGUACGGUAGAGGGAAGUGGAAUUUCCGGUGUAGCGGUGAAAUGCGUAGAGAUCGGAAGGAACACCAGUGGCGAAGGCGACUUCCUGGACUGAUACUGACACUGAGGUGCGAAAGCGUGGGGAGCAAACAGGAUUAGAAACCCCGGUAGUCC